Molecule: long non-coding RNA, 1076 nt
Filed under: Anser cygnoides (Swan goose)
Lineage: Eukaryota; Metazoa; Chordata; Aves; Anseriformes; Anatidae
Description: lncRNA (ENSACDG00005018534.1)
Source: RNAcentral
GGUAACGUGUUGGAAUGACUUCUAACCUGAUGUCUUCCAAAGACGUGGAUUAAUGGAUUAUUACACAAUUCAACAUUAUAGAAGCUACAUGCCUGAUGAGAUUUGCAACAUUAAUUACAGAACAGAACUAAUGACAAGUAGAAAAUCACCAGGCAGUAUGUGCAAAUCUGAUAAAAACGGGAAAAGAAAAAUCAGACCAGGAUCAAGAAUACACAAGAAGGGAUCCACUAUGAUACAUACAGGUAAUAUAAUCAAGGUUAAUACUAACCAAAAUUAAGCUAUUUAAUUAUUAUUUUUCAUACAGAAAAAAAAACACCCUUCGUGGUCAAAAAACGUCAGAUAAACCCUAGUAGGCACAAAUUCUUGUCUUAGGAGCUUAUGGGGUUACAUUUAUGAUUGCUAAUCUUCCUCAGUUUGUUGGCACCAUGCUGGACAGGAGGAACUGACAGAUGGCUCUAAGAGGGCAAUUUCUAAAGGGUUUAGAUUAGAGGAUUAGGGCCUGAGCAACCUGCUGAAGGAGGGAAGAAUCUGGAGGGGAACCAACAGUUGCUCCAAUGUGAAUACCAACUGCAGUUACAGCAGCUUUUUAAACAGUUGUUUUAAUUACAAAUCAUUUUUGGAUACACACUUGGUGUCCUUUCUAAUUACUCAGCAAGAGGUACAAGAAACACGGUGGUAAAGGUCAAGCUAAAGAGACUCCAAGCAUGAAAAAAACUGUGAUUAGCAUGAAAACAAAACAGAACGAAGCAGGCAGCUUAGAGCUCAAUUUCUAGAAAACAACAACAACAACAACAACAAAAAAACUGUACAGGCGUGGAAGCGAACACCAAGUCUGUAUUGAGAGCUGCCUAUAGGGAAUAGAGAUGAAAAAAUGAAGGCAAAGCUUUUUGAACUAUCUUACUGGGGAAAAAAAAAAAAAAAAAAAAAAAAAGGAAAGAAAGAAAGAAGUGAUGCCACCUCCAGGAAUAAUGCCUGCAGCACUGGGACACUCACGAGUGGCUGAUGAAUACUAAAGCCCAUGAAAGACCGAGACUGUAAAGAAAUAAAAGCCAGAAGUAGAAGAAGGAAUAAAUCCA